GACGAACGCUGGCGGCGUGCUUAACACAUGCAAGUCGAACGAGGAGCGAUGGAAGCUUGCUUCUAUCAAUCUUAGUGGCGAACGGGUGAGUAACGCGUAAUCAACCUGCCCUUCAGAGGGGGACAACAGUUGGAAACGACUGCUAAUACCGCAUACGAUCUAAUCUCGGCAUCGAGGAUAGAUGAAAGGUGGCCUCUACAUGUAAGCUAUCACUGAAGGAGGGGAUUGCGUCUGAUUAGCUAGUUGGAGGGGUAACGGCCCACCAAGGCGAUGAUCAGUAGCCGGUCUGAGAGGAUGAACGGCCACAUUGGGACUGAGACACGGCCCAGACUCCUACGGGAGGCAGCAGUGGGGAAUCUUCCGCAAUGGACGAAAGUCUGACGGAGCAACGCCGCGUGAGUGAUGACGGCCUUCGGGUUGUAAAGCUCUGUUAAUCGGGACGAAAGGCCUUCUUGCGAAUAGUGAGAAGGAUUGACGGUACCGGAAUAGAAAGCCACGGCUAACUACGUG
This 510-nucleotide ribosomal RNA is filed under the name uncultured bacterium. RNAcentral describes it as "partial 16S ribosomal RNA". It matches the Rfam family "Bacterial small subunit ribosomal RNA", at positions 28 to 507 of the family's 1533-position model. The record is from RNAcentral.